This 497-nucleotide ribosomal RNA is filed under the name uncultured bacterium. RNAcentral's name for it is "partial 16S ribosomal RNA". It matches the Rfam family "Bacterial small subunit ribosomal RNA", at positions 28 to 507 of the family's 1533-position model. The record is from RNAcentral.
GAUGAACGCUGGCGGCGUGCCUAAUACAUGCAAGUCGAGCGAACGGACGAGAAGCUUGCUUCUCUGAUGUUAGCGGCGGACGGGUGAGUAACACGUGGAUAACCUACCUAUAAGACUGGGAUAACUUCGGGAAACCGGAGCUAAUACCGGAUAAUAUUUUGAACCGCAUGGUUCAAAAGUGAAAGACGGUCUUGCUGUCACUUAUAGAUGGAUCCGGGCUGCAUUAGCUAGUUGGUAAGGUAACGGCUUACCAAGGCAACGAUGCAUAGCCGACCUGAGAGGGUGAUCGGCCACACUGGAACUGAGACACGGUCCAGACUCCUACGGGAGGCAGCAGUAGGGAAUCUUCCGCAAUGGGCGAAAGACUGACGGAGCAACGCCGCGUGAGUGAUGAAGGUCUUCGGAUCGUAAAACUCUGUUAUUAGGGAAGAACAUAUGUGUAAGUAACUGUGCACAUCUUGACGGUACCUAAUCAGAAAGCCACGGCUAACUACGUG